This 292-nucleotide ribosomal RNA is filed under the name uncultured bacterium. Its description in RNAcentral is "partial 16S ribosomal RNA". It matches the Rfam family "Bacterial small subunit ribosomal RNA", at positions 505 to 796 of the family's 1533-position model. The record is from RNAcentral.
GUGUCAGCAGCCGCGGUAAUACGUAGGGUGCGAGCGUUAAUCGGAAUUACUGGGCGUAAAGCGUGCGCAGGCGGCUCUUUAAGUCAGAUGUGAAAGCCCCGGGCUUAACCUGGGAACUGCGUUUGAAACUGGAGAGCUGGAGUGUGGCAGAGGAAGGUGGAAUUCCUGGUGUAGCAGUGAAAUGCGUAGAGAUCAGGAGGAACACCGAUGGCGAAGGCAGCCUUCUGGGCCAACACUGACGCUCAUGCACGAAAGCGUGGGGAGCAAACAGGAUUAGAAACCCUAGUAGUCC